This 400-nucleotide ribosomal RNA is filed under the name uncultured bacterium. RNAcentral's name for it is "bacterial SSU rRNA". It matches the Rfam family "Bacterial small subunit ribosomal RNA", at positions 355 to 752 of the family's 1533-position model. The record is from RNAcentral.
UGAGGAAUAUUGGUCAAUGGGUGCAAGCCUGAACCAGCCAUCCCGCGUGAAGGACGACUGCCCUAUGGGUUGUAAACUUCUUUUGUAUAGGGAUAAACCUACCCUCGUGAGGGUAGCUGAAGGUACUAUACGAAUAAGCACCGGCUAACUCCGUGCCAGCAGCCGCGGUAAUACGGAGGGUGCAAGCGUUAUCCGGAUUUAUUGGGUUUAAAGGGUCCGUAGGCGGACUUAUAAGUCAGUGGUGAAAGCUCGCAGCUCAACUGUGAAAAUGCCAUUGAUACUGGCGGUCUUGAGUACAAGUGAGGUUGGCGGAAUGUGUGGUGUAGCGGUGAAAUGCUUAGAUAUGAUACAGAACACCAAUUGCGAAGGCAGGUCACUAAGCCAUAACUGACGCUGAGGC